RNAcentral lists this unclassified non-coding RNA (3234 nucleotides) under Lucilia cuprina (Australian sheep blowfly). RNAcentral describes it as "transcription elongation regulator 1, transcript variant X1". Lineage: Eukaryota; Metazoa; Arthropoda; Insecta; Diptera; Calliphoridae. The record is from RNAcentral.
UUCCAUAGUGAGAAAAAAAUCGACUAAAAUUUUUUUUCUAUAUGCAGUGUGAAAAAAUUGUUAAAAUAAAGCAAAAAUUGUGAAGAAGUAAUAAAAAAUUAUACGCAUAAUGGAGGUUGCUACGGAUGUAAGCAAAAAUAUAAAUGCAAAAUCUAUUGAAUCUUCUAAUAGUGAGGGAAAAGCAGAUUCAGAUAUUGACGGUGUAAAGACAGCACCGCCUGUGAACAACGCCAUUAAUGGUGCGGCAAAUGAAAAUUUGACCGAGACAACCACACCAGAAGUUGUGGCUCCUAGUAAGGAAUCUUGGACACCUGCACAAAAUCCUGUGCCAUUUGCCGGACAUGGCGGUGGCCCACCAGGAUCGUUUAGGGGCCGUGGGGGCUUAAUAAUGCAUUUUAAUCGCGGUGGCGGUAGGGGAGGUGCUUCAAACUUUGGUAAUCGUCCACUUGAUCCAAAUUCACAAAACAAUUCUGGACAUAAUGCACUCGCGCCGCCAGGUGGUCCACAGUUGGAGUUAUGGGUAGAAACUAAAACGGAAGAUGGCAAAUCUUACUAUUAUCAUGCCUUAACUAGGGAAACAACAUGGACAAAACCAGAGGGACCAAAUAUUAAGGUUAUGACACAAACUGAAAUUGAAGAAAUGAAUAAAAAACAACAUCAACUGCAACAACCAUCGCAAAACAAUCAAGCACCACCAAGUGGGGCCUCUAAUAUAACCAAUGGGAAUGCAGAGGAAGCGGCUAAGGAAAAAACAGACAGUGCAACUGCUAUUCCAGAAAAAACAAUCACAUCACAGCCUCCACCGGGCAUGAUGUCACAGCCUCCUCCAGGCCAACAACCAUUAUCACAACCUCCUCCUAAUUUGGCACCAUCUGGUAUGCCACCAGGACCUCAACACCAACAUCCUCCAGGAUUACAUCAACAACCUCCACCAUUCUUUGGCGGAGGCAUGCAUCCGCCAAAUUUCAACCAACCUCCAUUUGGUAUGCCUCCCCCUGGUUAUGGUGGCGGUUUUCCAGGUGCUCCCGGUGCUGCACCAUGGGCUGCUAUGCAUUGGAAUCAACAUAUGCAUCCACCAGCAGCUGCCCAAGAAAAACCGGCUAAAAAUCUUAUAAUUAAACCUGGUGUUAUUGAUCCGGCUGUUAUAGCCAGAGCUGCAGAAUGGUCGGAACACAGAGCUCCGGAUGGGCGUCCGUAUUAUUAUCAUGCCGGUAGGGGUGAAAGUGUUUGGGAAAAGCCACAAGCUUUACGUGAUAUGGAAGCUGCUCGUAUGGCCGCUCAUGGUGCUACACCUCAACCUACUGCGUCGGCUCCUCCCACUCCAGCUUUAGUGUCAGGCAUGCCACCGCAUAUGAUGGCAAAUCCUUUAAUGCAUAUGCAGGCACCGAAUCCGGCUUUCACCGCGGAUCCAGCAAUAGCUUAUGCCCAAGCCGCUGCAGCAGCAGCGGCCGCCGCUGGUAUUAAACCUAUGACUGAAUCGUCCAAAACAGCCGCUAUUGAAAAAGAAGCCAAGAAGAAUGCCGAAGAAAAGCGCAAAAAAGAAGAUGAACAAAAGAAAACGACAGCUGCAGCUAAGCCCGUAGAUAAAUCGAGGCCUAUCUCAAGCACACCAAUACCAGGCACUCCCUGGUGUGUUGUCUGGACCGGUGAUGCUAGGGUUUUCUUCUAUAACCCUUCAACGCGAACUUCCGUUUGGGAACGACCAGAAGAUUUACUAGAACGCGAAGAAGUCGACAAAGCCAUUAACAAUCCUCCGGAACAACUAAAAGGUGUCAUGGCUACAAAGGCGGACAAGUUGGAAGGUGAAAGGGAGAGGGCAAAGCUGGUAGAAGUUCCAGAUCUAACGAAACAGCUUACUGAAUUUGUUAUACAGGAGGAUGAUGACGAUGAUGAUGUUGUUAUUAGAAUAAGAACAGAAUCCGAAUCAGAUGUUGAAGAAGUCCCAGCUAAGAAAACACGUUCAAUCAAAUCCAAAAAGGCCGAUGCCACUGAAGCAGCUAUUGAGGCCGAGGUAAGAGCCGCUAAAGAACGUGCUCUCGUACCCUUGGAAACACGAGUAAAACAAUUUAAGGAAAUGUUACGUGAAAAAGAUGUUUCGGCUUUUAGCACUUGGGAAAAAGAACUACAUAAGAUUGUAUUCGACCCACGCUAUCUAUUGCUAACAUCUAAGGAACGCAAACAAGUUUUUGAAAAAUACGUAAAAGAUCGUGCUGAAGAGGAGCGCAAGGAAAAACGCAAUAAAAUGAGACAAAAGAGAGAUGAUUUUCGGAAACUUUUGGAGGAUGCUAAGCUGCAUGGAAAAUCUUCGUUUAGUGAUUUUUGUCAGCGCUAUGGCAAAGAUGAACGUUACAAGGCAAUUGAAAAAGUGCGCGAGCGUGAAUCGCUCUUCAAUGAAUAUCUCUUGGAUGUAAGGAGACGAGAGAAAGAAGAAAAACAACAGAAAAAAGAACAGAUUUCAGCCUUUCGAUCACAAUAUCCAUCCACCAACCACUUUGUGUGUGUGUGAGAGUGUGUGUUAAUUUUACAUUUUAUUGUAAAAUGCGAUGAAAUUAAUACAAAGGUAUUGAAACUUAAAAGGAUGUGAUUAAAAGGCAACUACUUACCACUCCCUUUACUCUUUCUCUUUUUCCGUGUGAGUGUAUGUGAGAAUAUUGAUGUGGGUAUGUGCGAGAGCAACCCCCCAAAUUCUAAUUGAUUGAUCGAAGGUGGUUACUUAAAGAAACAGACAAAUUAUAAAUGAUAGAAAGAUAAGCAAACAAACAAACAAACUUUAACACAUGGGAUAGCCUGAUUAUUGAGAAGAAACCCCUGAGGACUUUGACGUUAUCAUCAACCAUGCAAGGUAUUGAGCCGAGUGAACAACUACAACAACCCACCACCUGUUUAGCACAAUAAUAACCUUAACCUUAGAGCCUUAAUUAUCCACAGCGAGUGUGGUGAGUUAUCCAAUGAAAUCAAAAACAUAAAAAAUAAUAUUCUAACAGAAUCAGUUGAAUGUUGAUAAAAAUAUAAAAAAAAACUAUUACAAAAAAUCACAAAUACAAAACUAUGCUGAUUUAUAUCGUUGGUGAUUUACCCCCCUUCUGUUAGGCUAAAUAGAGGAUUUCGGAUAGACAUACUUCUUCAAUCAUAGAUGGAGGCAGAAAUCAUCAAAUAUCAAGGAUUUAUCUACGUCUAUGUUGUGCCAUUGUAUUGUACUGUUUUCUUGUAUUUUGAUUUGAUUGCUGCUGCUUU